CUUUGGCGUAGAGCUUCCAGAUAAAUCAUUUAUGUUUUCGUUGUAGGAUCUGCCCAAGAAUCAAAUAACACUUGCAGUUUUGACACUUUAUUAGAUCGAAAGUGCCGUCAGAUAUAGAAAAAUAUUUUCCCUUUAUUGAAGUAUUUUUAUGAAUGCAGGGAAGGGGGGAAAACAAAAGAAAAAUACCCAAAGUUAGUAAUCAAAACCAUAAAAUCGGUAUGCAUGCCCUAUGGGGGAACCCUUUUAUGCCAAGGGUAGGCCUAGCAUGAAAAUGCAAUCCGUUAGAGUAGGCACCAUACUAUACCUGAUGGAUCCAAUCAGCUUAUGGAGUGAAAAAUAAUUUGAAAAAUUUGGCCAUUGGAGUGACGAGAGAUUUGUCAAAAUGAGGACAACGUCCGAAUAGAUUGAUCACCUUUGAUUUGCAAAAGGCACGGGUUUGACCUUGACGAACCUCCCAUCGAAAAGAUUGGAAUUCGUUUUAACAAAUUUUCUCAGUGAAUUACGGGUCAAAACCCUAAUUGAUCAAAUGAUUGGAUGCAAUGGACGAUUUUUCAAAAUUGACUAGAUCUCCCAAUUUGGAAUUUGACAAUGAAACCCUAAUAGGGCAAGUGGGUUGAAUGAAAUUGACAAUUUAUUUAAAAUCGACCGAAUUACCCUAAAAGGGA
RNAcentral lists this long non-coding RNA (665 nucleotides) under Coffea arabica (coffee). Its description in RNAcentral is "long non-coding RNA (CARA_LNC007672)". Lineage: Eukaryota; Viridiplantae; Streptophyta; Magnoliopsida; Gentianales; Rubiaceae. The record is from RNAcentral.